CCUACGGGCGGCUGCAGUGGGGAAUAUUGCACAAUGGGCGCAAGCCUGAUGCAGCCAUGCCGCGUGUGUGAAGAAGGCCUUCGGGUUGUAAAGCACUUUCAGCGGGGAGGAAGGCGGUGAGGUUAAUAACCUCAUCGAUUGACGUUACCCGCAGAAGAAGCACCGGCUAACUCCGUGCCAGCAGCCGCGGUAAUACGGAGGGUGCAAGCGUUAAUCGGAAUUACUGGGCGUAAAGCGCACGCAGGCGGUCUGUCAAGUCGGAUGUGAAAUCCCCGGGCUCAACCUGGGAACUGCAUUCGAAACUGGCAGGCUAGAGUCUUGUAGAGGGGGGUAGAAUUCCAGGUGUAGCGGUGAAAUGCGUAGAGAUCUGGAGGAAUACCGGUGGCGAAGGCGGCCCCCUGGACAAAGACUGACGCUCAGGUGCGAAAGCGUGGGGAGCAAACAGGAUUAGAUACCCUUGUAGUC
RNAcentral lists this ribosomal RNA (465 nucleotides) under uncultured Klebsiella sp. RNAcentral describes it as "bacterial SSU rRNA". It matches the Rfam family "Bacterial small subunit ribosomal RNA", at positions 338 to 795 of the family's 1533-position model. Lineage: Bacteria; Pseudomonadati; Pseudomonadota; Gammaproteobacteria; Enterobacterales; Enterobacteriaceae. The record is from RNAcentral.